This 424-nucleotide ribosomal RNA is filed under the name uncultured bacterium. RNAcentral describes it as "bacterial SSU rRNA". It matches the Rfam family "Bacterial small subunit ribosomal RNA", at positions 359 to 776 of the family's 1533-position model. The record is from RNAcentral.
GAAUUGUUCACAAUGGGCGCAAGCCUGAUGACGCAACGCCGCGUGGAGGAUGAAGGUCUUCGGAUUGUAAACUCCUGUUGCCCGGGACGAACGGCUCCAACCUAACACGUUGGAGAUUGACGGUACCGGGUGAGGACGCCCCGGCUCCCUCUGUGCCAGCAGCCGCGGUAAUACAGAGGGGGCAAGCGUUGUUCGGAAUUACUGGGCGUAAAGGGCGCGUAGGCGGCCUUCUAAGUCGAACGUGAAAUCCCCGGGCUCAACCCGGGAACUGCGUCCGAUACUGGAAGGCUUGAAUCCGGGAGAGGGAUGUGGAAUUCCAGGUGUAGCGGUGAAAUGCGUAGAUAUCUGGAGGAACACCGGUGGCGAAGGCGACAUCCUGGACCGGCAUUGACGCUGAGGCACGAAAGCCAGGGGAGCAAACGGG